GGGAAGUAAGAAGAGACCAGGAGGGGAAGGAUGGACAGUUUGGGAAGGCCAGAAAUGAAUGGCCUUGGAGGAAGACCUGGAUAACUCCUGCUCUGUCCUACAAAACUUUUCAUCUGGGUCACAUCUCAGACCUGUCUCACAAGGUGGUGAAAUGACCAGGAUGAUGCUUAGAAGACUCGUUGGUAAAGACAGUGAAUGGGAAUCAUGUGGCAGUGAUCUGGUUCAGAUCUGUGGCUUACUCCGGAAGAGGAAAAUUGAGAUCUCUGGGAGUUUUUAUAGCCUCACCAAUAAAAGAGAGGGUAAUAUGCACUUUAUCACCUCUGUGAAGUGGUUUUCAGGAGCAAAGAAGAGAAUAUGAUUCCAUGGUGCUUAUUUUCUUUCUAGUAUCUAUUAUAGUUCACAUAUUACUAUGUAUUAGAGGUGCUGGUUUGUCAGAGCUCACUUGUAC
Molecule: long non-coding RNA, 448 nt
Filed under: Rhinopithecus bieti (black snub-nosed monkey)
Lineage: Eukaryota; Metazoa; Chordata; Mammalia; Primates; Cercopithecidae
Description: lncRNA (ENSRBIG00000045451.1)
Source: RNAcentral